Molecule: unclassified non-coding RNA, 148 nt
Organism: Pongo abelii (Sumatran orangutan)
Lineage: Eukaryota; Metazoa; Chordata; Mammalia; Primates; Hominidae
Rfam family: Metazoan signal recognition particle RNA
About the family: The signal recognition particle (SRP) is a universally conserved ribonucleoprotein.
Source: Ensembl
GCCGGGCGUGGAGGUGCAUGCCUGUAAUCCCAGCUACUUUGGAGGCUGAGGCACGAGAAUUGCUUGAACCCAGGAGGUAGAGGCUUCAGUGAGCCAAGAUCAGGCCACUGUACUCCAGCCUGGGUGACACAGUGAGACUCUGUCUCAA